GACCAAGGAGUAUAACAUGUGCGCGAGUCGUAGGGUUACGCUCAAAGCCCGAAGGCGCAAUGAAAGAGAAGGUCGGCCUCGAUUGCCGUUACCUAGGCGGGAUCCGUUCGGGCUUACCGGUCGUUCGCGGCUGAACCCGGCGGCGCACCGCCGGCCCGUCUCGACCGCAUCGCCGGUGAGGCGGAGCGAGAGCGUACACGUUGGGACCCGAAAGAUGGUGAACUAUGCCCGGGCAGGACGAA
This 242-nucleotide ribosomal RNA is filed under the name Craterostigmus tasmanianus. Its description in RNAcentral is "partial 28S ribosomal RNA". It matches the Rfam family "Eukaryotic large subunit ribosomal RNA", at positions 664 to 850 of the family's 3401-position model. Lineage: Eukaryota; Metazoa; Arthropoda; Chilopoda; Craterostigmomorpha; Craterostigmidae. The record is from RNAcentral.